This 253-nucleotide ribosomal RNA is filed under the name uncultured bacterium. RNAcentral's name for it is "partial 16S ribosomal RNA". It matches the Rfam family "Bacterial small subunit ribosomal RNA", at positions 524 to 776 of the family's 1533-position model. The record is from RNAcentral.
GACAGAGGGUGCAAACGUUGUUCGGAAUUACUGGGCGUAAAGCGCGUGUAGGCGGCAAGGCAGGUCGGAUGUGAAAGCCCGCGGCUCAACCGUGGAAGUGCACUCGAAACCGCCUAGCUAGAGUCUCGGAGAGGAAGGUGGAAUGCUUGGUGUAGAGGUGAAAUUCGUAGAUAUCAAGUGGAACACCGGUGGCGAAGGCGAGUCCCUGGACAACACCUGACACUGAGGCACGAAAGCUAGGGGAGCAAACAGG